Molecule: ribosomal RNA, 505 nt
Filed under: uncultured bacterium
Lineage: Bacteria
Description: partial 16S ribosomal RNA
Rfam family: Bacterial small subunit ribosomal RNA
Source: RNAcentral
GACGAACGCUGGCGGCGUGCCUAAUACAUGCAAGUAGAACGCACAGUUUAUACCGUAGCUUGCUACACCAUAAACUGUGAGUUGCGAACGGGUGAGUAACGCGUAGGUAACCUGCCUGGUAGCGGGGGAUAACUAUUGGAAACGAUAGCUAAUACCGCAUAAUAUUGAUUAUUGCAUGAUAAUUGAUUGAAAGAUGCUAUUGCAUCACUACCAGAUGGACCUGCGUUGUAUUAGCUAGUAGGUGAGGUAACGGCUCACCUAGGCGACGAUACAUAGCCGACCCGAGAGGGUGAUCGGCCACACUGGGACUGAGACACGGCCCAGACUCCUACGGGAGGCAGCAGUAGGGAAUCUUCGGCAAUGGACGAAAGUCUGACCGAGCAACGCCGCGUGAGUGAAGAAGGGUUUCGGAUCGUAAAGCUCUGUUGUAAGAGAAGAACGGGUGUGAGAGUGGAAAGUUCACACUGUGACGGUAGCUUACCAGAAAGGGACGGCUAACUACGUG